This 873-nucleotide ribosomal RNA is filed under the name uncultured bacterium. Its description in RNAcentral is "bacterial SSU rRNA". It matches the Rfam family "Bacterial small subunit ribosomal RNA", at positions 574 to 1447 of the family's 1533-position model. The record is from RNAcentral.
GGCGGUUAGAUAANUCUGAAGUUAAAGGCUGUGGCUUAACCAUAGUACGCUUUGGAAACUGUUUAACUUGAGUGCAGAAGGGGAGAGUGGAAUUCCAUGUGUAGCGGUGAAAUGCGUAGAUAUAUGGAGGAACACCGGUGGCGAAAGCGGCUCUCUGGUCUGUAACUGACGCUGAGGCUCGAAAGCGUGGGGAGCGAACAGGAUUAGAUACCCUGGUAGUNCACGCCGUAAACGAUGAGCGCUAGUUGUUAGGCCCUUUCCGGGGCUUAGUGCCGCAGCUAACGCAUUAAGCACUCCGCCUGGGGAGUACGACCGCAAGGUUGAAACUCAAAGGAAUUGACGGGGGCCCGCACAAGCGGUGGAGCAUGUGGUUUAAUUCGAAGCAACGCGAAGAACCUUACCAGGUCUUGACAUCCCGAUGCCCGCUCUAGAGAUAGAGUUUUACUUCGGUACAUCGGUGACAGGUGGUGCAUGGUUGUCGUCAGCUCGUGUCGUGAGAUGUUGGGUUAAGUCCCGCAACGAGCGCAACCCUUAUUGUUAGUUGCCAUCAUUCAGUUGGGCACUCUAGCGAGACUGCCGGUAAUAAACCGGAGGAAGGUGGGGAUGACGUCAAAUCAUCAUGCCCCUUAUGACCUGGGCUACACACGUGCUGCAAUGGCUGGUACAACGAGUCGCAAGUCGGUGACGGCAAGCUGAUCUCUUAAAGCCAGUCUCAGUUCGGAUUGUAGGCUGCAACUCGCCUACAUGAAGUCGGAAUCGCUAGUAAUCGCGGAUCAGCACGCCGCGGUGAAUACGUUCCCGGGCCCUGUACACACCGCCCGUCACACCACGAGAGUUUGUAACACCCGAAGUCGGUGAGGUANCCUUUUAGGA